GAUGAACGCUAGCUACAGGCUUAACACAUGCAAGUCGCGGGGCAGCAUGGGGGUUGCUUGCCAUCCCCGAUGGCGACCGGCGCACGGGUGAGUAACGCGUAUCCAACCUGCCCUUCACCACGGGAUAACCCGGCGAAAGUCGGACUAAUACCGUAUGUUGUCCAUUGACGGCAUCCGAUUUGGACGAAAGGCUUGGCGGUGAGGGAUGGGGAUGCGUCCGAUUAGCCAGACGGCGGGGUAACGGCCCACCGUGGCUACGAUCGGUAGGGGUUCUGAGAGGAAGGUCCCCCACACUGGAACUGAGACACGGUCCAGACUCCUACGGGAGGCAGCAGUGAGGAAUAUUGGUCAAUGGGCGUAAGCCUGAACCAGCCAAGUAGCGUGCAGGAUGACGGCCCUAUGGGUGGUAAACUGCUUUUAUGCGGGGAUAAAGUGGCCCACGUGUGGGCUUUUGCAGGUACCGCAUGAAUAAGGACCGGCUAAUUCCGUG
RNAcentral lists this ribosomal RNA (490 nucleotides) under uncultured bacterium. Its description in RNAcentral is "partial 16S ribosomal RNA". It matches the Rfam family "Bacterial small subunit ribosomal RNA", at positions 28 to 507 of the family's 1533-position model. The record is from RNAcentral.